This 263-nucleotide ribosomal RNA is filed under the name uncultured bacterium. Its description in RNAcentral is "partial 16S ribosomal RNA". It matches the Rfam family "Bacterial small subunit ribosomal RNA", at positions 793 to 1055 of the family's 1533-position model. The record is from RNAcentral.
GUCCACGCCGUAAACGAUGGGUGCUAGGUGUGGGCGGUGUCGACUCCGUCCGUGCCGAAGCUAACGCAUUAAGCACCCCGCCUGGGGAGUACGGCCGCAAGGCUAAAACUCAAAGGAAUUGACGGGGGCCCGCACAAGCAGCGGAGCAUGUGGUUCAAUUCGACGCAACGCGAAGAACCUUACCGAGACUUGACAUGCACUGGAAUGUCGUAGAAAUACGCCAGCCCUUCGGGGCUAGUGCACAGGUGGUGCAUGACUGUCGU